UGGUGUGUGUGUGUGUUCCAUGUGGUGUGUGUGUGUUCCAUGUGGUGUGUGUGUGUUCCAUGUGGUGUGUGUGUGUGUUCCAUGUGGUGUGUGUGUGUGUUCCAUGUGGUGUGUGUGUGUGUACCGACAUCGCGUUGACAACACAACAUCUCCUCCAGCGAGAGACACACACAGCCUCUUUCAUAGGAAACUAGAGUGGCUAACCUUUGACCUUUACCAUUCAGCCUGUCUGGGUAAACCAGGUCUGGGA
Long non-coding RNA from Gasterosteus aculeatus aculeatus (three-spined stickleback), 250 nucleotides. The record is from Ensembl. NCBI's taxonomy places the organism in Eukaryota, Metazoa, Chordata, Actinopteri, Perciformes, Gasterosteidae.